RNAcentral lists this ribosomal RNA (492 nucleotides) under uncultured bacterium. RNAcentral describes it as "partial 16S ribosomal RNA". It matches the Rfam family "Bacterial small subunit ribosomal RNA", at positions 29 to 507 of the family's 1533-position model. The record is from RNAcentral.
AGUGAACGCUGGCGGUAGGCCUAACACAUGCAAGUCGAACGGCAGCACAGUAAGAGCUUGCUCUUACGGGUGGCGAGUGGCGGACGGGUGAGGAAUACAUCGGAAUCUACUUUUUCGUGGGGGAUAGCGUAGGGAAACUUACGCUAAUACCGCAUACGACCUAUGGGUGAAAGCAGGGGAUCUUCGGACCUUGCGCGAUUGAAUGAGCCGAUGUCGGAUUAGCUAGUUGGCGGGGUAAAGGCCCACCAAGGCGACGAUCCGUAGCUGGUCUGAGAGGAUGAUCAGCCACACUGGAACUGAGACACGGUCCAGACUCCUACGGGAGGCAGCAGUGGGGAAUAUUGGACAAUGGGCGCAAGCCUGAUCCAGCCAUACCGCGUGGGUGAAGAAGGCCUUCGGGUUGUAAAGCCCUUUUGUUGGGAAAGAAAAGCAGCAGGUUAAUACCCCGCUGUUCUGACGGUACCCAAAGAAUAAGCACCGGCUAACUUCGUG